This 460-nucleotide ribosomal RNA is filed under the name uncultured bacterium. RNAcentral's name for it is "partial 16S ribosomal RNA". It matches the Rfam family "Bacterial small subunit ribosomal RNA", at positions 338 to 795 of the family's 1533-position model. The record is from RNAcentral.
CCUACGGGAGGCAGCAGUGAGGAAUAUUGGUCAAUGGACGCAAGUCUGAACCAGCCAUGCCGCGUGCAGGAAGACGGCUCUAUGAGUUGUAAACUGCUUUUGUACGAGGGUAAACGCAGAUACGCGUAUCUGUCUGAAAGUAUCGUACGAAUAAGGAUCGGCUAACUCCGUGCCAGCAGCCGCGGUAAUACGGAGGAUUCAAGCGUUAUCCGGAUUUAUUGGGUUUAAAGGGUGCGUAGGCGGUCGGAUAAGUUAGAGGUGAAAUCCCGAGGCUCAACUUCGGAAUUGCCUCUGAUACUGUUCGGCUAGAGAGGAGUUGAGGUAGGCGGAAUGUAUGGUGUAGCGGUGAAAUGCUUAGAGAUCAUACAGAACACCGAUUGCGAAGGCAGCUUACCAAGCUACUUCUGACGUUGAGGCACGAAAGCGUGGGGAGCGAACAGGAUUAGAUACCCCAGUAGUC